GAUGAAGAACGUAGCGAAACGCGAUAAGUAAUGCGAAUUGCAGAAUUCCGUGAGUCAUCGAAUCUUUGAACGCACAUCGCGCCCUCUGGUAUUCCGGAGGGCAUGCCUGUCUGAGCGUCAUUGUCAACCCUCAAGCUCAGCUUGCUGUUGGGUCCCCGUCGUUGCUUUAACGGCGGACCCGAAAGGUAAUGGCAGAGUCCGUGAGACCCUAGACGCAGCGAGCUUCUAGCACGCGUCUGGACGUUUUUCGGGCUCGGUCUUAACUAGAUGAUAACUUCCGAUUGACCUCAGAUCAGGUAGGGAUACCCGCUGAACUUAAGCAUAUCAAUAAGCGGAGGA
Molecule: unclassified non-coding RNA, 339 nt
Filed under: soil metagenome
Description: partial contains 5.8S ribosomal RNA, internal transcribed spacer 2, and large subunit ribosomal RNA
Rfam family: 5.8S ribosomal RNA (bases 1-120)
Source: RNAcentral